CGCCGCCGACGACGUCGCGAGAAGUCCACUGAACCUUAUCAUUUAGAGGAAGGAGAAGUCGUAACAAGGUUUCCGUAGGUGAACCUGCGGAAGGAUCAUUGUCGAUGCCUGCAAAGCAGAACGACCCGCGAACCGUUUCUCAACACUCGGGACGCCCUCCGGCAUCCCGACGCUUCGGACGCUGCUGGUGGUGCGAGCCACCUCCGGUGGACGGAGCAUCAAACACAACCCCGGCGURCAAAGCGCCGAGGUACUCCAACGUAGGGCAAGCACCCGUCGGCCUGGACUCCAGUGCACGAUCGGGUGUAUGUUCGAUGGCAUAAAUCUAACGACUGUGUGAAUUGCAGAAUCCCGUGAACCAUCGAGUCUUUGAACGCAAGUUGCGCCCGAAGCCUUGGCUGAGGGCACGCCUGCCUGGGUGUCACACGUCGCUCUGCCUCCAACACCUUUCCCCUCGUAACAUCGUGGUGAUGGUUUGGAUGCGGAAGAUGGCCUCCCGUGACCACGAGCCACGGAUGGCCCAAGUUCAUGCCGGGGAAGCGAAGCACCAUGGCUUUCGGUGGUCGGUAUAGCCUCUGUGGCAAUGAAGCCCGUGGUCGCCGCGACUGUCUCCGGUAUAAGACCCCAAAUCAUUAAUGAAUGCGACCUCAGGUCAGGCGGGGCUACCCGCUGAGUUUAAGCAUAUCAAUAAGCGGAGG
RNAcentral lists this ribosomal RNA (698 nucleotides) under Combretum nigricans. Its description in RNAcentral is "eukaryotic LSU rRNA". Lineage: Eukaryota; Viridiplantae; Streptophyta; Magnoliopsida; Myrtales; Combretaceae. The record is from RNAcentral.